This 460-nucleotide ribosomal RNA is filed under the name uncultured bacterium. RNAcentral describes it as "partial 16S ribosomal RNA". It matches the Rfam family "Bacterial small subunit ribosomal RNA", at positions 338 to 795 of the family's 1533-position model. The record is from RNAcentral.
CCUACGGGCGGCAGCAGUGAGGAAUAUUGGUCAAUGGACGAGAGUCUGAACCAGCCAAGUCGCGUGAAGGAUGACUGCCCUAUGGGUUGUAAACUUCUUUUAUAAAGGAAUAAAACGAGGCACGUGUGCCUGUUUGCAUGUACUUUAUGAAUAAGGAUCGGCUAACUCCGUGCCAGCAGCCGCGGUAAUACGGAGGAUGCGAGCGUUAUCCGGAUUUAUUGGGUUUAAAGGGAGCGUAGAUGGGUUGUUAAGUCAGUUGUGAAAGUUUGGGGCUCAACCGUAAAAUUGCAAUUGAUACUGGCAGUCUUGAGUACAGUUGAGGUAGGCGGAAUUCGUGGUGUAGCGGUGAAAUGCUUAGAUAUCACGAAGAACCCCGAUUGCGAAGGCAGCUUACUAAACUGUGACUGACAUUGAUGCUCGAAAGUGUGGGUAUCAAACAGGAUUAGAUACCCUUGUAGUC